CCUACGGGAGGCAGCAGUGGGGAAUAUUGCACAAUGGGCGCAAGCCUGAUGCAGCGACGCCGCGUGCGGGAUGACGGCCUUCGGGUUGUAAACCGCUUUUGAUCGGGAGCAAGCCUUCGGGUGAGUGUACCUUUCGAAUAAGCACCGGCUAACUACGUGCCAGCAGCCGCGGUAAUACGUAGGGUGCAAGCGUUAUCCGGAAUUAUUGGGCGUAAAGGGCUCGUAGGCGGUUCGUCGCGUCCGGUGUGAAAGUCCAUCGCUUAACGGUGGAUCCGCGCCGGGUACGGGCGGGCUUGAGUGCGGUAGGGGAGACUGGAAUUCCCGGUGUAACGGUGGAAUGUGUAGAUAUCGGGAAGAACACCAAUGGCGAAGGCAGGUCUCUGGGCCGUUACUGACGCUGAGGAGCGAAAGCGUGGGGAGCGAACAGGAUUAGAUACCCGGGUAGUCGAU
This 450-nucleotide ribosomal RNA is filed under the name Escherichia coli. Its description in RNAcentral is "bacterial SSU rRNA". It matches the Rfam family "Bacterial small subunit ribosomal RNA", at positions 338 to 798 of the family's 1533-position model. Lineage: Bacteria; Pseudomonadati; Pseudomonadota; Gammaproteobacteria; Enterobacterales; Enterobacteriaceae. The record is from RNAcentral.